CUCUAGAUGGCUGAUUAAAGCAAUGGAAUUUUAAACCAUUUUAUAGUAAUUUUACUUCUAGUGA
Molecule: transfer RNA, 64 nt
Filed under: Cassida viridis
Lineage: Eukaryota; Metazoa; Arthropoda; Insecta; Coleoptera; Chrysomelidae
Description: tRNA-Lys
Source: RNAcentral